Molecule: unclassified non-coding RNA, 516 nt
Filed under: uncultured Glomus
Lineage: Eukaryota; Fungi; Glomeromycota; Glomeromycetes; Glomerales; Glomeraceae
Description: SSU rRNA
Rfam family: Eukaryotic small subunit ribosomal RNA
Source: RNAcentral
AGCAGCCGCGGUAAUUCCAGCUCCAAUAGCGUAUAUUAAAGUUGUUGCAGUUAAAAGCUCGUAGUUGAAUUUCGGGAUCAAAGGAUCGGUCAUGCCUUGGUAUGUACUGGUUUUAUUGGUUCUCACCUUCUAAAGAACCAUAAUGUCAUUCAUUUGAUGUUAUGGGGAAUUAGGACUGUUACCUUGAAAAAUUAGAGUGUUUAAAGCAGGCUUACGCUUGAAUACAUUAGCAUGGAAUAAUGAAAUAGGACAUCAGAUUCUAUUUUGUUGGUUUCUAGGAUCGAUGUAAUGAUUAAUAGGGAUAGUUGGGGGCAUUAGUAUUCAAUUGUCAGAGGUGAAAUUCUUGGAUUUUAUUGAAGACUAACUACUGCGAAAGCAUUUGCCAAGGAUGUUUUCAUUAAUCAAGAACGAAAGUUAGGGAUCGAAGACGAUCAGAUACCGUCGUAGUCUUAACCAUAAACUAUGCCGACUAGGGACCGGAUGAUGUUAAUUUUAUAAUGACUCAUUCGGCUACCG